This 468-nucleotide ribosomal RNA is filed under the name uncultured bacterium. RNAcentral's name for it is "partial 16S ribosomal RNA". It matches the Rfam family "Bacterial small subunit ribosomal RNA", at positions 28 to 507 of the family's 1533-position model. The record is from RNAcentral.
GACGAACGCUGGCGGCGUGCUUAACACAUGCAAGUCGAACGGCAAGGCCCUGAUUUCGUGGGGUGCCCGAGUGGCGAACGGGUGCGUAACACGUGUGUAACCUGCUCUACACUUUGGGAUAAGUUCAGGAAACUGGGGUUACUAUCGGAUAGGAGCCCCCCUUGCGGGGUGGGGGGUGGAUCUUUUCGGCUGUAGGGGAUGGAUGCGCGGGUUACCGGCUUGUUGGUGGGGUAGUGGAUUACCGAGGCUUUGACGGGUAGCCGGCCUGAGAGGGUGGACGGCCACAUGGGGACUGAGAGACGGCCCAGACGCCUACGGGAGGCAGCAGGGGGGAAUAUUGCACAAUGGGCGGAAGCCGGAGGCAGCGACGCUGGGUGCGGGAAGACGGCCUUCGGGGUGUAAACCGCUGUCGGCUGAGACGAAGCGGUUCUGACGGUAAUGGGAGAAGAAGCACCGGCUAACUACGUG